UUUUUCUGUCGUGACCUGAAAAGUGAAAAGUCAUCUUUUCGAUGGAUUCUAGGGUUCUUCCUUUUCUCAAGAUCCGUUUAGGUCAAACUGUAAUGGAGGUUCUCUGUGUCAGAUAUUCAUAUUGAAUCUCUAUAUCCACGCCAUCCACGAUUACACAUUCAAUCCUUCUCGACUCCCUUCCAGUCGGUGAAAAUUUUCCUAUAUAAAGCGUGGUGGUGUGCCUCCUCAGGUUUUGAGAAGCCAGAAGCGAGCUCAUGGGUGACUCUAAGGCGACACUUAUGCCAACAACCGUGAACCAUCCCAGCGUCUUCUUGGCGAGCAGCUCGAUCCUCCGUGAUUGCUAAGCAACAGCAAAACGGAAACCUCUCGGGAGAGGCUACUACUACCACCUUGGUACCUUCUACCUCCAACUCUAAUCUGGAUUGAGUCAAAACCGAGCCUGUGAGACAGAUUCAUCUCAGCGAUUGGUUCCUGAUCAGAACGUGUGUCCUAACGAGAACAGUCUAUCAGGCAAGAGAAAAGAACUCGAGAAAGAGGUUAAUAAAUCUCAACAAAGAAGAAGAUUUGUGAAACGGAUCAAGAAGAAAAGGUGGUGGAGAAGAUGACGUCAUCUCUGACUUUGGAAGCUGUGGAGGAUGAAUGGUUGGUUUCGAACUCUUACAUUUGAGAAAGUUGCUGUAACUAAGAAGUAUAUCAAUAUGACCAUUACAACCAUUCAUCCUCCAUGAGACACAAACGCAUGAGACACAUCCAACAGCCUAAAGAAAAGUCACUUAUUCAUAUAACCUGUUUGUUGAUAUUCCUAAGAGAAUAGUAAAGUGAUGUUUUGCAUAGUUUCACGAACAUUUGUUUUCUUAAUGGUGUUAUUUUAGGAGUUGAAAUAUUUUUUUUCUAAUAAUGAGUUGUGAGUUGUCAACUGAA
Molecule: long non-coding RNA, 921 nt
Organism: Raphanus sativus (radish)
Lineage: Eukaryota; Viridiplantae; Streptophyta; Magnoliopsida; Brassicales; Brassicaceae
Exons: 5
Source: RefSeq, a predicted model, not a curated record